AGCUUAUUGAAAAUAUAAUAAGUUAAGUCUGCCCAGUGAAAUAUUUUUAACGGCCGCAGUACUUUGACUGUGCUAAGGUAGCAUAAUAAAUUGGCUUUUAAAUGAAGUCGGGAAUGAAAGAACCCAUGGAAAGAAUCUGUCUCAAUUAUAAGUAUUUUGAAAUUAAUAAUUAAGUGAAAAUUCUUAAGUAAAAUAUAUAAGACGAGAAGACCCUAAGAAUUAUUAAUAUAUAUAAUAAUAUUAUUAUAUCUUUUUUGUUGGGGCAACAUAGUUGGUUUAACCAACUAAAUUAUAUAUAUUUUUUGACAAAAUAAUUUUAAGAAUAACUAUAAAUUACCUUAGGGAUAACAGCAUAAUUAUUUAUUUAGAUUGUGACCUCGAUGUUGGACUAAGAACUUUUUUAAUUAGCCAUUAAAAGAGAUAGUUCUGUUCGAACUUUUUACUCUU
This 447-nucleotide ribosomal RNA is filed under the name Zoogenetes harpa. Its description in RNAcentral is "partial 16S ribosomal RNA". The stretch from base 1 to 187 matches the Rfam family "Archaeal large subunit ribosomal RNA", at positions 1908 to 2143 of the family's 2987-position model. Lineage: Eukaryota; Metazoa; Mollusca; Gastropoda; Stylommatophora; Valloniidae. The record is from RNAcentral.